This is a long non-coding RNA of Pipistrellus kuhlii (Kuhl's pipistrelle), 99 nucleotides long. RefSeq lists it as uncharacterized. The transcript is spliced from 3 exons. NCBI's taxonomy places the organism in Eukaryota, Metazoa, Chordata, Mammalia, Chiroptera, Vespertilionidae. The record is from RefSeq and is a predicted model, not a curated record.
GCUCUUCCAAUCUGGGACAUGUGAUCAUAAAUGAUUUAAAAUGUUCAGUUCUUGUAUUAUUUCUACCCACUCACUUUCCCCCAAAUGGUACAGAACUUC